This 467-nucleotide unclassified non-coding RNA is filed under the name Microcystis aeruginosa Micro BM-02. RNAcentral's name for it is "partial contains 16S ribosomal RNA and 16S-23S ribosomal RNA intergenic spacer; may also contain 23S ribosomal RNA". The stretch from base 1 to 104 matches the Rfam family "Bacterial small subunit ribosomal RNA", at positions 1430 to 1533 of the family's 1533-position model. The record is from RNAcentral. Lineage: Bacteria; Bacillati; Cyanobacteriota; Cyanophyceae; Chroococcales; Microcystaceae.
UUACCUCAACCGCAAGGAGGGGGAUGCCUAAGGCAGGGCUAGUGACUGGGGUGAAGUCGUAACAAGGUAGCCGUACCGGAAGGUGUGGCUGGAUCACCUCCUUAAAGGGAGACCUAAUUCCGGUAGGAGACGAAAAAAAAGUAGUCCCUACCAAGAAUCAAUCCCAAAAGGUCGGAGCGAGGCAAAAUUGGCUUUCAAACUAGGUUCUGGGUUCACACAAGACCUGAAUCAGGAACAAGGGCUAUUAGCUCAGGUGGUUAGAGCGCACCCCUGAUAAGGGUGAGGUCCCUGGUUCGAGUCCAGGAUGGCCCACCUGCACAGGUGGAAGAAAGAAAAAAGCUCCGAAUCAGCACCUUAUCUUACUUAUAUAGUAAGAGAGAAUGCUGGCUCUGAGUACAGAGUCCAGAGGAACCUUGAAAACUGCAUAGAGCUAGGUAAAAAGCCAAAAAAGAAGACCGCAAGGUCAA